GGGGACGAUGGCAUCUUCCCCUCGGGUAGAGGCUGGGAGAGGGGUACAGAGGGCAACAGCGCCUUCCCCUCGGGUAUAGACCAGGAGAGCAGCUAAUGGGGAAAAUGGCACUUUCAGUUCAGGUAGAGAUGAGGAUAGGAGUACAGGGGACAAUAGCGUCUUCCUCUCAGGUAGAGAGCAGGAAGGUGGUACAGAGUAAGGGAAUGGUGCCUUCGCCUCAGGUAAAGAUCUGAAGAGGGGUACGAGGAGGGCGUGGUGCUUUCCCCUCAGGUAGAGACUGUGAGGGGGGUGCAGUGGGAAAAUGGCGCCAUCCCCUCAGGUAUUGAUCAGGAGAGGGGUACGGGAGGCAAUGGCAUCUUCCCCUCAAUUAGACACCAGGAGAGGGGUAAAGAAGACAAUGGCACCUUCGCCUCAGGAGGAAUAUUGCACAUAUCCAUGGAAUAACUGAUGCAGGUGACACACGGACUAUUGCAGAUACUCAGAAAAAUGUUAAGCUCUUGAACUGAUAUCAUUCCAGUGAUCUCAUUUAAGAUACCACUCACUGUGGUAGAGGAGAGAGAAGGAGUACUGCUGAUAUCCCUGUGACAGAUACGGCAACAUUUGAUUUACCACCACUUACACAGAGAGUUCAAACCUUCACAUUCGCCUGGAUUGAACCAACCCACGUGGCAGGGAACAGGCACCAUCCCUGCCCCCAUCUCACCCCACGGAUGAUGCCGGUCACACACCGACUCACGAGGCUGCACCAUGCCAGGACAACCCAAACCCCACAGUGGCAGUUUGGUGGUUGAUCCCUGGAGGGGACAAACCCUCUCUUUGGUGUCAGGAGCUCCUCUGCCCACCCUGGGCAUCGGGAAGGGGCAGCUGCUGGUAGCCCCCAGCAUCCUCCUCGCCUUGUCCUUCCCAGGGAACUGAGCCCUUUUUGGCUCCACUCAUCCUUUGGAUGUUCUCCUGUGGCUGGAAAUGCGCUGGAAGAGCUGGGAGCAGCUCAGUAGCCUCUCAGGGGGUUCUGGAAGUACUGUCUCAGGGUUUGUUUGCCCGUGGGCGCUCCUACGGCAGGGUGGGCUUUGUCAACUAGACGUUGACAUCCAGGUUGCCACCCCCCAGGGGUGUGUUAUGGUGCUUAUGCUGGCACGUGCCAUAAAUCAUCCUGCUGGGAAUCAGCACAGUGACAGGGCAGGAAGGUGCCCUGGCUCCAGUGCUGGCAGCUGAGCACCCCAUCUCUGUACACCCAAGAUGGACUGAGGCAGCCACCAGCAGCACCCAAAUCAGCCCUGGGAGGGCAGCAGUGCCAGGGAAAACCAGAGAGCACCACACUGCUUGUCUGUGACAGCCCCAACAAUCUUUAAAGUAAAAAAACCACAACAGGAAUCUCCAAAAUCACACCGGAGCCCCUAAAAGUAAAGCUCAUAACACUAGUGAAGCAUCGCGCUUCGUGAGGGGCAGGGUGGGAGAGGCAGGAACUGGGGGAGAGGAGAGGACACACACACACAGACACACACACACAGACACACAGACACUCACACUCUCACACUCACUCUCACACUCACACACGAGCUUCUCUCAUGCUUGAGGUAGAACAUUGCUUUCAAAGGUUUGGAAGUGCUUUACAUGGGAACGACGACGACGAAGCCGCCGGGGCGGCAGGUACAGAGCGUGACUGCUGAGGUAGGACCAUGCUUGUACUGACCAAGUGCUAUGCUACUUGCUUUUUGAACACGAAGGAAGACGCAGGCAUUUCUGCUUCCCAGAAGACAUUCAUUCCGGUUGAGAGUCAAUCAGCAAAAAAAGUAUCCUGAGAAAUAGCAAAAGUGUACAAAGUCAUCAAAUCCACGGAGAGACAGCCUUCCUGGGCCUCGAUUUUUGGAGUCAAGUUAGAAGGAUUUCUCCAAAUCCAGUCUUCUGGAAAUAAAAAAUAGAUCCAAAAAGUAGUCCUAAAGCUGCUGAUCAGGAAAAAGUCUGGGACGCCAGGACAUGCUCCACCAUAUUCCCAGUCUGUCAGAGACGGGAGAGUUUGUCAAACUCUGCCAAGGAGUCUGUUACUUAGCAGCUGAGGGGAAAAUUCAUCGUGACCAGUCUCCGCGAAGCCGCCAUCGGAAGAAACACACCGAGAGGCUCGAAGGAGAGGUCAGACAGAUAAAACUUCACAGAGUUUCCAAAAGGCUGUAUACAUAUAUAUAUAUUUAUAUAUAUAUAUAAAAAUAAAGCAAAACAAAAAAAUAACAAUCAGACCGUAGAAAUC
This is a long non-coding RNA of Pipra filicauda (Wire-tailed manakin), 2242 nucleotides long. RefSeq lists it as uncharacterized. The record is from RefSeq and is a predicted model, not a curated record. NCBI's taxonomy places the organism in Eukaryota, Metazoa, Chordata, Aves, Passeriformes, Pipridae. The transcript has 5 exons.